CCUACGGGAGGCAGCAGUAAGGAAUAUUGGUCAAUGGACGAAAGUCUGAACCAGCCAUGCCGCGUGGAGGAUGAAGGUCCUCUGGAUUGUAAACUUCUUUUAUAUGGGGCGAAAAAAGGGUUUUCUAACUCGACUGACGGUACCAUAUGAAUAAGCACCGGCUAACUCCGUGCCAGCAGCCGCGGUAAUACGGAGGGUGCAAGCGUUAUCCGGAUUCACUGGGUUUAAAGGGAGCGUAGGUGGGUUGAUAAGUCAGUGGUGAAAUCUCCGAGCUUAACUCGGAAACUGCCAUUGAUACUAUCAGUCUUGAAUAUUGUGGAGGCUAGCGGAAUAUGUCAUGUAGCGGUGAAAUGCUUAGAUAUGACAUAGAACACCAAUUGCGAAGGCAGCUGGCUAUACAUAUAUUGACACUGAGGCUCGAAAGCGUGGGGAUCAAACAGGAUUAGAUACCCUGGUAGUCCACGCCCUAAACUAUGGAUACUCGACAUACGCGAUACACUGUGUGUGUCUGAGCGAAAGCAUUAAGUUCCCACCCUGG
RNAcentral lists this ribosomal RNA (538 nucleotides) under bacterium enrichment culture SBR_L_B25. RNAcentral describes it as "bacterial SSU rRNA". It matches the Rfam family "Bacterial small subunit ribosomal RNA", at positions 338 to 877 of the family's 1533-position model. The record is from RNAcentral.